Epilithonimonas sp. is the source of this 78-nucleotide non-coding RNA. The record is from Rfam. NCBI's taxonomy places the organism in Bacteria, Pseudomonadati, Bacteroidota, Flavobacteriia, Flavobacteriales, Weeksellaceae.
CCAUAGCCCCGAUUGUAGUGGAAAUCCUUUUUCUUUUCUUUGAAAAGGAAAAGAUUGCAACGGAAAGCGGGAUUAAGC